UUAGCCGGUCAUUUUCUAGAUUGGCUCAGCAAUUAUUUCGGCUCUUUGUGUUUAAGUGAGUGUUUUUUCUGUCCCUGUCCAGUGUCUUUCUGCUUCACCAGAUAGGGAAGCCUCGGCAGCAUUUUCCCUCCAGAGAGCUGAGCCCUCACGGCCACAGAGGCUGGGGGACGAGGCGGGCGGAGCAGGGGCAGUGGCUUAGUGAAAGCCAGAGUUGCAGGUCCAGAGGGUCGCUGAGGCUCUCGGGCGGCGACUACAAAACGUGGACCAAGCAGCAGAAUCACCUGGAUGGCACGCACCCUACUUCCCAUGUGAUAACGUCACUGAGCAAAGCUGGGAACAGAAGUGGCCCCUCGGCACCUGUGAGCUGGGAAGGGAAGAGAAGCUUGGAGAACUAUUACACUUGGCCUCCAUCUCGUAUUGAUCACGGAGCCAGGAUCUGACCCUAAAUCUUGCUGAUUCCAGAGACCUUAUUAAGAAUCCACACGUCAAGGUUUGCAGUCGGUUUCCUUCUUUUCCUCAUCGCUUUGUGGGAGGAUCGAGUCACAUUACAUCCACAAAACACCUGACCCACAUCCAGCUACUGGUAUGCUCAUGCAAGAUGGUGGGUCCCGUCCUUCCUAU
This is a long non-coding RNA of Acinonyx jubatus (cheetah), 621 nucleotides long. RefSeq lists it as uncharacterized. The transcript is spliced from 3 exons. Lineage: Eukaryota; Metazoa; Chordata; Mammalia; Carnivora; Felidae. The record is from RefSeq and is a predicted model, not a curated record.